Molecule: ribosomal RNA, 253 nt
Filed under: uncultured bacterium
Lineage: Bacteria
Description: partial 16S ribosomal RNA
Rfam family: Bacterial small subunit ribosomal RNA
Source: RNAcentral
UACGUAGGGUGCAAGCGUUAUCCGGAAUUAUUGGGCGUAAAGAGCUCGUAGGCGGUCUGUCGCGUCUGCUGUGAAAUCUGGGGGCUCAACCCCCAGCCUGCAGUGGGUACGGGCAGACUAGAGUGCGGUAGGGGAGAUUGGAACUCCUGGUGUAGCGGUGGAAUGCGCAGAUAUCAGGAAGAACACCGAUGGCGAAGGCAGAUCUCUGGGCCGGAACUGACGCUGAGGAGCGAAAGCAUGGGGAGCGAACAGG